RNAcentral lists this long non-coding RNA (266 nucleotides) under Homo sapiens (human). Its description in RNAcentral is "non-protein coding MIR99AHG:94". Lineage: Eukaryota; Metazoa; Chordata; Mammalia; Primates; Hominidae. The record is from RNAcentral.
GUUGCCACCUAAGAUACGAUGGAGCAAGCACAGUCUUAAAGAAGAUUUGCUGAUUUUUUGUUUUUCUCAGCAGACCAGAGUAGGACAUCCAUAAAAAUUCAUCAGAGAGCAUUUUACUACUGAGCUGCAAAGGGAAAAACUUAAAAUGGAUAUGAAAAGUGAAGAAAGUGAUCAUAGGAGAAAACCAUUUCAGGUAAAAAUAAAAAACAAAGAGCAAAUAAGAUUUACUGUUUUUAAAGAAAAACAACAUUCUUUUGACUGUGUUU